RNAcentral lists this ribosomal RNA (215 nucleotides) under Glomus sp. RNAcentral describes it as "partial small subunit ribosomal RNA". The stretch from base 36 to 215 matches the Rfam family "Eukaryotic small subunit ribosomal RNA", at positions 683 to 864 of the family's 1831-position model. Lineage: Eukaryota; Fungi; Glomeromycota; Glomeromycetes; Glomerales; Glomeraceae. RNAcentral also lists the same sequence under 2 other names. The record is from RNAcentral.
GGACCAAUAUGUCGGUCGUGCUUCGGUACGUACUGUCAUAAUUGGUUUCUCCCUUCUGAAGAACCUUGAUGUCAUUAAUUUGGUGUCUUGGGGAAUCAGGACUGUUACUUUGAAAAAAUUAGAGUGUUUAAAGCAGGCUCGCGCUUGAAUACAUUAGCAUGGAAUAAUGAAAUAGGACGUUUGAUUCUAUUUUGUUGGUUUCUAGGAUCGACGUA